RNAcentral lists this ribosomal RNA (349 nucleotides) under uncultured bacterium. RNAcentral describes it as "bacterial SSU rRNA". It matches the Rfam family "Bacterial small subunit ribosomal RNA", at positions 28 to 359 of the family's 1533-position model. The record is from RNAcentral.
GACGAACGCUGGCGGCGUGCUUAACACAUGCAAGUCGAACGAGAAGAGAUGAGAAGCUUGCUUCUUAUCAAUUCGAGUGGCAAACGGGUGAGUAACGCGUAAGCAACCUGCCCUUCAGAUGGGGACAACAGCUGGAAACGGUUGCUAAUACCGAAUACGUUCUUUUGUCGCAUGGCAGAGGGAAGAAAGGGAGGCUCUUCGGAGCUUUCGCUGAAGGAGGGGCUUGCGUCUGAUUAGCUAGUUGAGGGGUAACGGCCCACCAAGGCGACGAUCAGUAGCCGGUCUGAGAGGAUGAACGGCACAUUGGGACUGAGACAGGCCCAGACUCCUACGGGAGGCAGCAGUGGGG